RNAcentral lists this long non-coding RNA (1669 nucleotides) under Dromaius novaehollandiae (emu). Its description in RNAcentral is "lncRNA (ENSDNVG00000009760.1)". Lineage: Eukaryota; Metazoa; Chordata; Aves; Casuariiformes; Dromaiidae. The record is from RNAcentral.
AGCGGCCCCGCGACGCCCGGGCCCUGCGGCRAGCCCGGCCGGGGGGGCGAGGACGUGGGGCUGGGCCGUCCCCGGGGCCCGGGACCCUGGCGGCACCGGGAAAGGGGGCUCUGCUUUCGGAAGGGAGCUCCCGCCCCCGGCCGCCUUCGGCAUCUGUAGCCAGCGCAAAACCACCUGGGCCAUAUAUCAGGCAGCAAAGCUAAGUCUCUGCCAGCUUUUCCUCUUCAAAUUUAUUAGCAUUGUAUAGACUCAGAUUCAGUCUAUAAAUUAUUGGGAAUUGUUACAAAAAAGCAAGCAUCUCCUCCCAAGCCCCCCCCGCCCGAAAGAAAGGGGAAACCCUCCGAGAAAAAGAGCCGUAGCGAGGCAGGGGAGCAGGGAGAGGCUCCUCAACCAAGACCAACCAAACACAACCAAACGAAGCCCAACUCAACCCAACCCAACUCAACCCCGAUCAACUCAACCCCAUCCAACCCAACCCAGCCCGACUCAACCAAGCCAAAUCAAACCGAGCCAAACGAAUCCAAAACAAAUCAAACCAAGCCAAACGAAUCCAAAACAAAUCAAACCAAGCCAAACGAAUCUAAACGAAAUCAAACGAAGCCAAGCCAAGCGAAGCCAAACCAAACUCAAGUCGAGCAAACCCAAGCAAACCCAAGCAAAGCAAACCCAACCUCCGUCCGGCAGCGGAGGAGCGAGGAAGCUCCUCUGCUCCUCCGUCACGGGAGACCUGUCGCGUUGGCAUCGCCGGAGUCCUGCUAGCUGGCAGGACCAGGUUGCGGAGAGGGGGGGUUUGGGGACAAGGAAAGUUUCUGGUGGCGCCGAGACGUGGAUGCAGCUCUGUGGCUGGGGUACGGCCUUGCCUCUGUCCCCACGGCGUCAGCCCGGCCAGGACUUGCUGCAGGAAAAGAGCGUUGAUAAUAAAAUCCUGCUGAUAGUGUGGGGCUGGGGGGGAUGUGUGGGGCUGGGGAAGGGGCAAUCGCCACUGUCUGAAGCAGGAAAAAUCGACGGGGACGCGAAAGCGGCUGGAAACGCGCYGCUCUGCUGCGCGCCCGGGCGCAGAGGUAUUUUGAAAGCUUCCUUCUCUGAAAAUGUCCCUCGMGCGGGCGGAUCGGCCGCUUUUUGGCCUCCAGCCCCCGCUGCCGGCAUUUGCCGGUCGGGCACCGGCGCUGCGCGGCCCUCGCCCACGCGGGCAGGGAAGGGGCAAAGCCGGGGGCACACGCGUGUUCGUGGGAAGGGGGCGCGGGUGCGGCAUCCCGGGGCAGCGGGGGCCCGUCGGGGCGGUCCGGCGCCGCGGGGAAACGGAGCAAAUCCAAGCGACGGCGACAAGGGCAAGAGCUGGGACCCCCCCCGGGCCCGGAGGCCGCAGCGGGGCGGUGCRGGGGGGAGAGGGAAGCAGAAAGAGRGAGAGCCGGGAGGGAAGAAACCCGGCCGAAAAAGCAUGUUAAAUCGCUCAGGGAAGGAAGGUGGAAAAUUACGCUGGCUCCUAGCCGGCCUGUCCUCUCCUGCGCAGCCAGGAAAGCAAUUUUCCUAGGGGGUUGAGCGAAACGAAAUCAGCCCCUCUUGGAUCCGCAGCCCUCGUCGCUCGGCGGCCCAGCUAAGCUCCCGGCUGCCGCGGGCGCGCAGGGCCCCUCCGCGCAGCGCUGCCCCGCGGAUGCUCCGCGGGCGGCUG